GAACAGCGCGUCAAACCCGCGUCAAGGCAGGCGAAGCGGCAAACACCGCGUCCUGUCCGGAAGUGCAAAUAAAAGCACUAAAUCAAACCUUACAAAGUUGUUUUAGGUUUUGAUAGAAUUUUUUUUUUUUGUGAAUUCUGAAUGAACGUAGUGAGUUCUGAAUGCUCAAAUUCUUGGUGAGACUUACCUUUAAAGGAGAAAACUUUACAUUAAUUUAUGUAAAAUAUACCAUACAAAGAAAACAUAAUAUAGAAAACAAUAUAGACUAUAAGUAAGACCAGAACUACUCAACACACAGACAUAUAAAUAUAAACACGAUAUAAAUUGCAUGCGUGCACAUAGACUGUAUAAUAAAGAUGGACGUAGCUACCAUGACGUCACCUGUUGGUUUGGAGAAAAUGAAGCCCAGAUUUUGCUACUUCCUGGUUGACAUCUUGGAUCUUUGGAGCCAGAGGCGAAAAAAAUAUUCUCAGAGGGCGGAGCUGGAGUGCAGCGAUUGGUCAAACUGACUGAGCGCCAAGGACUCUGUCCCACCCACAUUUACCGACGCUUCUGCUCACAACGUUAGCCUCCAAAAGUGGAGCUAAACUGUACAGGUAAAAGUUAAAGUCAUCUUUGUAAUUAGUUCUGCUCUUCUCCACAUCUGGACAACAUCACAUAUAAAGCAAUGACCUACGUACGUUACUGUAGCUGAAGUUACUGCAAGUUAACAUCAGACUGUAAUCUCUGAUGUAAACUUGUUCUAACAUCGUGUUUUAAAGUUGUUCUGUAAAUCUCAGGUUAUGUUUCCUGACUUUGUGUUAACGCUGAUGCUAAAUCAGGUUAGUCAGUGUCAUACAUUAGUUAACUGUAAGCUGUAGCUAAGUGUCCUGCAGGUCACAGCUGAUCAAUCAUAACGGAUUGAUAACUGCUGUUUCAACGUGUAGUUCAUUAAUGAUCAGCAGAUAUAAAUUAAUCUAUGUUAAUGUUCCUCCACAGAACUCUGCUAGUGAUGAAAGUUAAUCUCUCAGUUCAGUGAAUGAAGAACAUUUCAGUUCUGCAUUAAUAUCAGACUGUUUUAACAGCUUCUGUUCAUUUCAGUGAGGAAAACAUCUGUUGAAAUGAUUCUUUCAGAAACAGUUACAUUACUGAGGUCUACCCACAAUUAGUGGACCACAGACGGGACUGAUAGUUACUUUCUGCUGCUAUUAAUGUAAAACACAACAAUUUUUUUUUCACUACAACAGUGUAUGGUCAGAUAACUGUGUGGAGCUCAUGCUAAUGCUAAUGAUACAUUAGAAUUUUAAAAAGAGAACUAUUGUCCAUCUAGAGCAGUAAAAUGUUCUUUGGCCUCAACCAGGAAAACAAACACUCCCACAGGAUUAAAAAAAAAAGGACACACUCUCUUGUUUUCCAUUCAUAUCCUAAUGUAUUCACUCUAAUAUUUAUUGUUCCAGCAGUUGGAAUGAAAGAACCUUGGAGGUCUUUUCCUGACUGUUAGUGUCUUUUCCUUCCAGCCUUGGUCUGGAUCAUUUGGAACAUCUGGUCUGAUGUGAACUGAGAGCUCCAGAGAACAUGAACAUCCAGCUGUGGUUGUCUGAAGAGUCUUCUCUCCUUCAUCAUUGUGAGGAAGAGCAGCACUGAUGUCCUCUUCAUCCGUCCAGUAGUAACAAUAAUACUGCACUGCAGAUUCAGCUCCUGUCUUCAUAAUACAACUUGUCUUGUGACUGUUCAGUUUUUACACUUCACUGUCAGCAACACAUUAUUUAUUUCAUCCAUUUAUUACAUGUGUUUACACAUCUUUACAGUUCAGAAUUGUUAAAUAAUGUAGUUUUUAAAUAUGCAAUAAAGGUAAUAAUGAAGCUUCCGCCCUGAAUGUGUUGAUGUUUUAAUGCAACGUAUCUACUAUACUACUAUAAAUAACAUGGACUUUUUAUUUUGUAUUUCUGCUACAACAGCAGAGAUGAAGUUAAAGGUGAUAAAUGGAACCUGUGAAUAUUAAGACCAGAGAAUAAUAAAAAGCUGAAAGAGUUGGUCUGUCCUUCUGUAAAUGAAAGCUAAACAGGAAGUGGUUCACUGAGGAUGUCGUCCACUCAGUCUCCUUCCUCACAACCAGAUGAGGGCCGUUUCUCAAUUCUAAGUACGCAAGUCCAUACUCGUGUACUUGGUGAGAACGGACUUGCGAGUCAGACUCCUAAGUAUGGACUCCCGAGAACACGAGAACGCAUUGAGGCUAAAGUGCAAUUGGAACACCAGCGUACUCGAUGAUGUCACUGCCUCGGUUCAUCUGCUCCGGUUAUUUUUACCAUGAAAAACAAUGAAAUGGAACAGAUAUUAUAACACAGCCCUGCACGUUCAUGGGUCUUUGUUUGGUGUUCAAGAUGUUCUUUUAUAUUGUUGUUCUGGCAGCUUAAAGGUAUUCUCAUAUAUUAUAUCCUGAGUAAUCCAUCCCAGGUUAACUGCUAUGUCCAGUGGGUUAGAAAUAAAAUUUUCAACAUGGAACUGCAGAAAGUUGCAAAAACUUAAGAAAGUAAAAAGUAAUGUGUAGACUAAAAGAUGUACAGUCUAAAUUAAUUUUUCUCGAAGAAACACAUCUGGCAGUGAGUGAGGAGUUAAGGAUCAAAAGGAGGUGGUGUGGGGAUGUGUAUUCAGCACCUUUCAAUACCCAGGUGAGAGGAGGUGGAUGGAGUCACCCAUCCAAAUAAUCAGAAUCAGGUGUUCCAAUCACUUCCAUGGCCACAGGUGUAUAAAAUCAAGCACCUAGGCAUGCAGACUGCUUUUACAAACAUUUGUGAAAGAAUGGCUCGCUCUCAGGAGCUCAGUGAAUUCCAGCGUGGAACUGUGAUAGGAUGCCACCUGUGCAACAAAUCCAGUCCUGACAUUUCCUCGCUCCUAAAUAUUCCACAGUCAACUGUCAGCUGUAUUAUAAGAAAGUGGAAGUGUGUGGGAAUGACAGCAACUCAGCCACCAAGUGGUAGGACACGUAAACUGACGGAGCGGGAUCAGCGGAUGCUGAGGUGCAUAGUGCCAAGAGGUGGCCAACUUUCUGCAGAGUCAAUGGCUACAGUCCUUCAAACAUCAUGUGGCCUUCAGAUUAGCUCAAGAACAGUGCUUCAGCAGAGAGCUUCAUGGAAUGGGUUUCCAUGGCUGAGCAGCUGCAUCCAAGCCACACAUCAAGUGCAAUGCAAAGCAUCGGAUGCAGUGAUGUAAAGCAGCCACCACUGGACUGUAGAGCAGUGGAGACGCCUUCUCUGGAGUGACGAAUCGCGCUUCUCCAUCUGGCAAUCUGAUGGACCAGUCUGGGUUUGGCGGUUGCCAGGAGAACCAUACUUGUCGGACUGCAUUGUGCCAAGUGUAAAGUUUGGUGGAGGGGGGAUUAUGGUGUGGGGUUGUUUUUCAGGGGCUGGGCUUGGCCCCUUAGUUCCAGUGAAAGGAACUCUGAAUGCUUCAGCAUAACAAGACAUUUUGGACAAUUCCAUGCUCCCAACUUUGUGGGAACAGUUUGGAGCUGGUCCCUUCCUCUUCCAACAUGACUGUGCACCAGUGCACAAAGCAAGGUCCAUAAAGACAUGGAUGACAGAGUCUGGUGUGGAUGAACUUGACUGGCCUGCACAGAGUCCUGACCUCAACCUGAUAGAACACCUUUGGGAUGAAUUAGAGCGGAGACUGAGAGCCAGGCCUUCUGGUCCAACAUCAGUGUGUGACAUCACAAAUGCACUUCUGGAAGAAUGGUCAAAAAUUCCCAUAAACACACUCCUAAACCUUGUGGACAGCCUUCCCAGAAGAGUUGAAGCUGUUCUAGCUGCAAAGGGUGGACUGACGUCAUAUUGAACCCUAUGGAUUAGGAAUGGGAUGUCACUUACGUUCAUAUGCGAGUCAAGGCAGGUGAGUGAAUACUUUCGGCAAUAUAGUGUACCUCCAGGAUGUAUAUUGGGCCUGUUUUAGCCAAGAGACUGAUUUAAACUCCCAGUCACUAUCAGACCUACAAGGGACUAAAUGGCGGCCAAUACAAUCAGACUGAUCCUGAGCCAUUGAAGGGGGGCUCAGGAACCUGGAUGACAACUUCAAAGACAUUCCACCCACUGACAAAGGAACUCUGGACUCAAAUCACAAUCAACAAAGACAAUCAUCCCACAAUUCUGGACCCAACUUCUUUUUUUGUACAUCCAUUUCAAAGAACAAAUUAACUUUUCAGUAACAUUAUGGUCAAUCUACAUCUUGCCUUGCCUUUAAUCUUUUAUUUCUCCUGAUUGGGUAUCAACAUGAUAAUUUUAACAUGUCUGUCAUUCACAUGAUCAUAUUUGGUAUCAUUCUGAUCCCCUGUCUGUCAGUAAUACACCCAGGUAAAUCAUGUUCACCAGAUUACAGUAUUUUUGGAGUUAUAGAUAUCACAAAAUGAUCUGCAAAUGUAAUUAUGCGAGAGACAUCUGGACUUUAGCCCUCCUCAACAGAGGUUGGUCCAGAUGCACCUUUUCUUUAAUGAGAUGCAACAAUCUGUUUUAAAAGACCAUGUACACCAUUUCGAGUCCUCCUUUACCCUCCUUUCUAAGAAUUAUCUUUUGCCAUCCAGCUCACCUUUACCACUGAGUUUUCCUGACACUGAGGCUCCACUCUGUCCACCGCUGUUUCGACCCGCUUCCACAGGUUGACUGGACCACCCACGUCAUCUUCAUCGUCACCUCCAUCGCCAUCAUCAUUACAGGCAUGCAAGUACCUUCCAAUCACUGAGUACUUCAUGCACUCUUCUCAAUUCUUCUAAUUCUUGAAACCCAUUAAUUUAGCAAAUUUUCAAAUUGGUGUUACAAAAAUGUACAGCUGCUUUCAGGUGUGAUCUCCUAAUUCCUUCCUCCCUGAGCGCCAUACUACAACGUAAUAUUCUCCCAAUAUUGUGUCAUAAUAUUGUGCUCACUUUCUUCCCCUGUUCGUAUCUUGUGUUGUAUGUGUUGUGUUCUUAGUUGACAGUCGUCACUAAUCAUAGUUAGUUGCGGUUAUCUUGUUUGCUGUUAAUCAAUAAAUGUCUAGUAUCUAAGCCAGUUGACUCAAUUGUUUGUCCACAUUUUGGUCCCUAAUUUGUAUUGAUUCAAGCUACCGAAAUUCUAUGCAUAACCCUAUUGAGCUAAAACAUUCCCCUUGAUCAUUUUAUGAGGCUUUCCUUGUCUGCAGCAAGAGACGUUUCAGGUGCUGCAUUAUUAUAUUUAGCCUAACUUAUAGCGGGAGGUUAAAUGACUUUUGACUUCAAGUCAUGAUACAAAGGUCCCCUUUGCGUCAUGAUUUGAAGUCAAAGGCCUAUUUUUUGGCCUUAACCUCCCUACUAUUAGAUGUUUCACUGGUCGAAUACCAGUUAGACUAUUUAAUAAUUCUGCACAAAGUAAUAUUACCCCCAUUUACCGUACAUUUCAUAAUUUGGUGGAGAAAACGACUUAAACCUUACAAAGAUUAAUUAAGAAAUCCUACAAUGAUGAAUGGACGGAUAGAUGUCACCAUAAUCUAGUAAUUUAAUAAAUGUUUUCGGGAGCAUCUGCACUAGUAUGUGUGAUGGGGUGGGUUCUUACGGACAAAAUGCAUGUUUUAUUCUUUUUAUUUUAUGCUGUUUGUUGUGAUUUUAGUGAGUUUUACUGCAUGGAUUUUUACCUAACUGACCUUGAACGCCUCACAGGCAGGCCGCAAUCAGCAGCAUUAGCAGCAGCUGUGGAGACGGCACCUGUUACACCUUUUAAUCAGCAGGAGAGCAGCCACAGAGAAGAGAGUCGCGAUGAAGCACAGACGCCGGGGACCGACGCCAUGGAGCGGGGAGCCGGCGAACUCAGGAGGAGCGGACUGCCGCGGCCAUAGCUGCACCGGACCCGAGGGAGAAUAGCGGGACGCCGACCGGGCGUCGCAGCAUUAUGGGCUGGAGAAGAGGGGAAGCUACGUGGGAAAGUAGAGGGCUGUGUUCGCGAGGCACCCCUCUUCCAUAAAAUCCCCGUCCAUAGCCUUGGAGGCCACACCGAGGACGAGCCCAGACGGGACGAGGACCGAGCCACUGUGGAUGACUUGGGGCUGUGAUUUUUAAUUCUGUUUUAUUAGAAUAAGCUGGUACUUUUUUUUUUUUUUUUUUUUUUUUUUAAAUUGAGCGUGGAACUAAUUCAAAGAACCUGGAAUUUUUAUGAGUUCUAGGCUCUUUUAAUCCUAGGUGGCGUUGUCGGACUUUUCUACCUUGUUUUAAAUUGUAUUUUAAUUCUCUAAAUCUCGACACAGCCAGCACGUUCACAUAUGCAAACUAUAUUCCUCGAAAUAUGCCACAAACAAGAAAAAAACCUGAUGACAUGUUUCAUUCAAACAAGAGAAUUUCACCAAAAACGUAAGAACUUUGCACGCCUAGUUUGUCUCUGUCAGUCUUUACAAGGGAUUUUGCAUUUUGAUUGCUACUGGUUCAGCAACUUUAUUUUAUUUUACAAAUAAAAGAAGCAGCCUAAAUAAAGUUGCCAAAACUUAACUGCAUUUGUUGGAAAGAGAGAAGCUCUUUCAGAUACAAUCAGAGCCUCAGAGCUGACAGCAGAUGUCUCAUUCCUGCACAACUACAAGGCUGCAGUGGAAAGAGUCCAGCAGCGCCCUCUGCUGGAGGAUCCACAGCUGCACUCAGGAGCUCUGCUAGAGGUGGCCAAACAUCUGGGCAACCUGAGCUUCAACAUCUCCAACAAGAUGGAGAUGGUCUCCUGCACUCCUGUGACUCUAGAUCCAAACACUGCUCAUCCAGGCAUCCUGACUGAAGGUCUGGGCUCCGUUUCACAAAGCAGGUUGAGUGUAACCCUGAACUCUGAGUUUACAAUUCCAGAGCAGCUGAUUUGAGUUGGUUUUAUCAACUUGGAGUAGUUUCAUUUAAAGGGUCAACUCUGACCCUUCAACUCUGAGCUGAAAAUACUUUUUAAAAGAGUAGACUGAAAGAACCAAAGCACUCACAACUCAAAGAAAAUGUAUAUUUUCAGCAUUAAGAUUCACACAUGAUUCAGUGUUACUGCAAUUUGCAGAAGUGGUACAUUGUGUAAAUGACAUAAUGACAGUGCUAGACAGAUGCAAACUAGCCUUUAAAACCAGUGUUACUGUUUACAAUGUCGAACUCUGAUGUUACAAAACCUGCAAAGUAAACAUUUUCACUGAGAAGAUUUAAAAAAA
Long non-coding RNA from Amphiprion ocellaris (clown anemonefish), 7131 nucleotides. RefSeq lists it as uncharacterized. The record is from RefSeq and is a predicted model, not a curated record. The transcript has 2 exons. NCBI's taxonomy places the organism in Eukaryota, Metazoa, Chordata, Actinopteri, Pomacentridae.